UACGUAGGGUGCGAGCGUUAAUCGGAAUUAUUGGGCGUAAAGAGCUCGUAGGCGGUCUGUCGCGUCUGCUGUGAAAAUCCGGGGCUCAACCCCGGACUUGCAGUGGGUACGGGGAGACUAGAGUGUGGUAGGGGAGACUGGAAUUCCUGGUGUAGCGGUGAAAUGCGCAGAUAUCAGGAGGAACACCGAUGGCGAAGGCAGGUCUCUGGGCCACUACUGACGCUGAGAAGCGAAAGCAUGGGGAGCGAACAGG
RNAcentral lists this ribosomal RNA (253 nucleotides) under uncultured bacterium. RNAcentral describes it as "partial 16S ribosomal RNA". It matches the Rfam family "Bacterial small subunit ribosomal RNA", at positions 524 to 776 of the family's 1533-position model. The record is from RNAcentral.